This 2186-nucleotide ribosomal RNA is filed under the name Chrysomya rufifacies (hairy maggot blowfly). RNAcentral describes it as "eukaryotic LSU rRNA". It matches the Rfam family "Eukaryotic large subunit ribosomal RNA", at positions 28 to 1916 of the family's 3401-position model. The record is from RNAcentral. Lineage: Eukaryota; Metazoa; Arthropoda; Insecta; Diptera; Calliphoridae.
CUGAAUUUAAGCAUAUUAAUGAGGGGAGGAAAAGAAACUAACAAGGAUUUUCUUAGUAGCGGCGAGCGAAAAGAAAACAGUUCAGCACUAAGUCACUUUGUCUUAAUGGCAAAUGUGAGAUGCAGUGUAUGGAAUGUCAAAUUUCUAGUAUGAGAAAUUAACGAUUUAAGUCCUUCUUAAAUGAGGCCAUUUACCCAAAGAGGGUGCCAGGCCCGUAUAACGUUAAUGAUUACUAGAUGGCAUUUCCAAAGAGUCGUGUUGCUUGAUAGUGCAGCACUAAGUGGGUGGUAAACUCCAUCUAAAACUAAAUAUAACCAUGAGACCGAUAGUAAACAAGUACCGUGAGGGAAAGUUGAAAAGAACUCUGAAUAGAGAGUUAAAUAGUACGUGAAACUGCUUAGAGGUUAAGCCCGAUGAACCUGAAUAUCCGUUAUGGAAAAUUCAUCAUUAUGAUUUUAAUAUUUAUAAUAUUAUAAUAAUGGUGUGCAUUUUUUCUAUAAAGGACAUUGUAAUCUAUUAACAUAAAUAAAUUUAUCAUAAGAUCAAGUAUGCGUAAGUUUAUUCAAAUUAUUUUGCUUGCAAUUUAACAUAGAAUAAAUGCUCUUGAUUUGAUAAAGUGUUGAUAGAUUUAUUAUAUAUAGUGCUUAAAUAUUUAUAUUUUAUAAUAGCAUAUUAAUCAUUGAUUUUUAUGUUUAUUAUAUGCACUUAUAUGAUUAACAAUGCGAAAGAUUCAGGAUACCUUCGGGACCCGUCUUGAAACACGGACCAAGGAGUCUAACAUAUUUGCAAGUUAUUGGGAAUAAAAACCUAAUAGCGAAAUUAACAUAACUUAUUAAUGGGAUUAGUUUUUAGCCUAUUUAUAGUCUAUUAAUUCAAUCCCGGGGCGUUCUAUCAGUUAUGUAUAAUAAUAUUUAUAUUAUUUAUACCUCUAACUAGAGCGUACCUUGAGCAUAUAUGCUGUGACCCGAAAGAUGGUGAACUAUACUUGAUCAGGUUGAAGUCAGGGGAAACCCUGAUGGAAGACCGAAACAGUUCUGACGUGCAAAUCGAUUGUCAGAAUUGAGUAUAGGGGCGAAAGACCAAUCGAACCAUCUAGUAGCUGGUUCCCUCCGAAGUUUCCCUCAGGAUAGCUGGUGCAUUUAAAAAUUAUGUAAAAUAAUCUUAUCUGGUAAAGCGAAUGAUUAGAGGCCUUAGGGUCGAAACGACCUUAACCUAUUCUCAAACUUUAAAUGGGUAAGAACCUCACCUUUCUUGGUAUGAAGGUCGUGGUUGUGAUAUAAUGUGCCCAGUGGGCCACUUUUGGUAAGCAGAACUGGCGCUGUGGGAUGAACCAAACGUAAUGUUACGGUGCCCAAAUUAACAACUCAUGCAGAUACCAUGAAAGGCGUUGGUUGCUUAAAACAGCAGGACGGUGGACAUGGAAGUCGUAAUCCGCUAAGGAGUGUGUAACAACUCACCUGCCGAAGCAACUAGCCCUUAAAAUGGAUGGCGCUUAAGUUGUAUACCUAUACAUUACCGCUAAAGUAGAUGGUUUAUGUUCAAUUUCGGUUGGAUUAUAAACUUUGAAACUUUAGUGAGUAGGAGGGUACAAUGGUGAGCAUAGAAGUGUUUGGCGUAAGCCUGCAUGGAGCUGCCAUUGGUACAGAUCUUGGUGGUAGUAGCAAAUAAUCGAAUGAGACCUUGGAGGACUGAAGUGGAGAAGGGUUUCGUGUGAACAGUGGUUGAUCACGAGUUAGUCGGUCCUAAGUUCAAGGCGAAAGCCGAAAAUUUUCAAGUUAUAAUGAAAAGUAAAAAAAAUUUUGCUUAGUAAUUAAACACUUGAAUAAUUUUGAACGAAAGGGAAUACGGUUCCAAUUCCGUAACCUGUUGAGUAUCCGUUUGUUAUUAAAUAUGGGCCUUGUGCUCAUCCUGGCAACAGGAACGACCAUAAAGAAGCCGUCGAGAGAUAUCGGAAGAGUUUUCUUUUCUGUUUUAUAGUCGUACUACCAUGGAAGUCUUUCGAAGAGAGAUAUGGUAGAUGGACUAGAAGAGCAUGACAUUUACUGUUGUGUCGAUAUUUUCUCCUCGGACCUUGAAAAUUUAUGGUGGGGUCACGCAAACUUCUCAACAGGCCGUACCAAUAUCCGCAGCUGGUCUCCAAGGUGAAGAGUCUCUAGUCGAUAGAAUAAUGUAGGUAAGGGAAGUCG